CGCGGGCGGGAGGUGGCGGCGGCGGUGGUCUGAGUUGAUGCUGCUGAAUAAUUCACCGGCAGCAAUGGUACUUCUCUGGGUCUGCGGUGCCGCGCUCAGUUUGGAGGGAAGCUCCCAUUGGGAUCUCCAGAUCUGCACCAGGUUGUUUUUCAGUGCUUUGGCCCACUGCAUGCCAGGAGGCUGGCUCUGAAACCCCAAACCAGCAUGAAAGCGAGUGAGAAUGCGGCAGCAAAAUCUGCCUGCGGAUGAAAAACUCGUUCAGCAGCCUUUAAGACUAAACAUCAACUGGGUAUUUCAAAAGCGAGGGAGGGCAGCAAGCAUUUCAUCUCAAGACGCCUUCCCAGGAGGGGGAUUUGCAGUAUUUUCAAUGGCAUCAAAGCCACGCGGCUCUGCAACAGCACAGUCCAUGCACGAGGCGCAAACAUCCACACCUCCCUCUGCUAAUGAAGCUUUUUGAAGUUUGUGGCCUUCCUGUGGCAUUUCGUACUUCACUUACCCAAACUUCUGCCUGCGGGCAUCCCCCCUCCCAAAAUUACUGCAGGAUUAUUAAAAGAAAUAGUUUACGAAGGUUCUCGCUAAUAAUACGCUCCCAGCCGCAGAGGAAGAGAUGCUACCUUGGCGUUUGGAGCCUCACUAACAACCAGCCCUGAGGAGCCAUGCCAUAUGAAACCUGUGAUCUUCAACUAUGAAACUUACGGAAUUGUGAGUGAGUGGUGAGCGACAGCCCCGCAGCAGCCGGGAGGAGGAGGAGGAGGAGAAGGGAGAGCCAGCAGCCCCCUGCUUGCCACUGCACAGUGCAAACCACCCCAGGAGUUUUUCUGCCCGGUAUCCUGUUACCACUUGAAUCAAAACCUGGAUGCCGAGCCAGCUUAUUUUUAGCGCAUUUUGGACUUAAAGUGAAGCGAAUGCUGGUGAAAUAUGCGGUACUGACAGCCCUGGAAAAUCUUUAUUCAUCUGCAGCACAGGCAGCAGGGAAGGCUGCGAGGAAGCAAAGCAAUCCCGAGCUGCAAACCGAGUCCCCCGGUUUCUCCGGCUGAGCUUGCCCAGUGCUGUGCAGUUCCUGGCGGUCGUUGGGAGAGGGUUUUUUCCACGCUCUGAGCAGACUGAGCACAGUGGGGAGGAGCGCAGUGUGCAGGGGAGCGGCAUGCUGCAGAUUUGGACCGCCUGCGAGCCUCCAGCUGAGAUCUCUGCAUCCCAAUCAGGGCGGCUGCCGGACUUCAACUGCAGCGGCGGUGGUGCCGUAAAAAUGGGAGAGACUCGGAAAACCUGAGUAUCUGAACCCUGCUCUGCUAGUCCAGGGCCAUGCUGCGUUUGCUGCGCUAGUGCAAUGCCGGAUCCAUGCAAAGUGGGGGGCCCAAUGGCACCAAUGCUGCCGGUGCUGCCUCCAGCAGCAGCUCAGACGCUCUGCUUUAAGGAAAAAACCCAAAGAGGGCACUUAUGAAGUAAAUACCAUGCAGAAAAGUCCUAUUUCUGACCCCUUUGCUUGGGACCUUGCUGAAAUCUUCCAGCACGACUCGGUGCCUGCCGGACCUGAGCUGGCCGGGUGGAUCUGUGCUGCCUGUGGCUGGCGGCUUUGUGAGGAUGAGGCCGCAGAGGGGAAGCAAGAGCUCUCCUAGCAGCAAAACUGGGUCCCUUUGGCGUUCAGGGCACAGCCUGCCAGAGAGCCAGGAGGUGCCUGGACGUGUGCCUUGGACAGUAGCUGGAGUUGCUGGGAGAGGCCAGGGUGACCACAAGAGAUGUCCCCCGCAUCCCUCUGCCAGGAGGAUGCGCACACGGUGUUCACAUGCUUGUCGUCAGUAAGCUUGAAAUCCAAUCACAGGCAGCUCGGGGAUUUGACAAUUGUUUGUGUCUGCCUCGAGACAAAUAUCUCAUUCCCCCUGUCACAAACUUGCUCCUCUACUGCGCGUGUGUUUCGAGUUUCCUCAUGCAAAACCUGCGUGGGUGUUUGGAUAUGUAAUGAGCACAUAGUUCAGGAUGAAAACAAGUUGCGUGGAAGAGCCAAGUAACGCCAAAAAAAUGAAAGCAAUACAAACAACAACAUGGCACGCGGCCAUACCAGCUAGAUCGUGGGCCAGCCGGAUCUCACGUACUCCCCGGAGCUGCAGAGCCGAUCAGCUGUUGGAAAAAGAGACCUUUAAAGACAAGCGAGAGGAAAUAGCAUUGGCAGCGCGGGCCACAGCAUGUUUCCUUCCAAAGCAGGACAGAGCCAAGGACAUUAGGCAGAGCUGUAACAUUUGGGGUCUCGUUGCUCAGCCGUGAAGUAAGGCAAAAACCUCAAGUAGGCUGCAGUUGUGUAAACUUCUAUUGUUUUCUGAGCGGAAGCGGGGCGCUGGCCUGACGGGGUAUUGUCGUACCAGAUUUUGGCGAUGCUCACCUAACCGAGCUCCUUCUGCAAAGCCAGGGCCUCAUUUUACUUUGGUGCAUCGUGCAAAGGGAAUAAACCCGCCUGUCUGCGCUGGAUCCGGGCUGGAGAGCAUCUUCCCAAGCCGAACGCGUGCUGCCUCCCCCAGUGUCUUCAAAGAAAAUUACCUCUAACCUCUGGGCAAGGCUGGAGAGGGACUAGAGGCAAUUCUAAAAAAACUCCCCAGACUGGCCUCACUCAUGAUCAUCUCUCAUUGUGAUGACGUGAUGGGGGAAAAUAGUGGCAAAGCUGAUUGAGACCAGUUUUCUGUGGGGCCUCAAUGCAUUUCCACACCGAAAAAGGGUGAAAGCAAGCCUCAAAGGCAGGUUAUUUUUUUUUUCCCCCCCAUUUAGGGCGAGGGAUCAUCUGGGCCUCCUUAAACGUAUUAAAACAAUACCUCCUUCAAUGUAAUAAAAUACCUCUUCUGAUCUAGGCCCUGAUCCAAGCAUCUGCUCGUAGGCCACGCACUUAAAUACCUGCUUGAGUCCUCUUCACCACCUCUUGCAGCAUCCGUCCUUUGGUUAAAGGCUUAAAUCAGUGAAAGAGCUCACUGGCAAUCCGGAAGAUUGAAAGGGGCCUGAAAUACCAGCGCCUCCAUACGCACAUUGGCAUAAUUCUUUGCAUAAAAGCCAGCUUUAAAAGGCUUGUCUUACAAAACACAAGCGUGCAUUUUUUUUCCGAAUCAAGGUCAGUAACUCAGCUUCAUUCACCAGUCUCCAGCUGCAAAACAACAUGCCCCAGACAAUGGAGGAGAGUGUAUCUGAGUCAGAAGAUGCCUUUUAAGGGAUGCAAGUGGCUCCCAGCCACGCUGAGGAAAGAAGAUCUCCUUGGUACCCUUGUGUGCUCGGCCCCGUCUGAACUGAAACGGGGCACCCGAGGGCAGGAAAAGCUGGUGAGAUGGGAACGGCAGCACAAAUUGUACUUGCGCCCUCCACGCUUUGGUAAAAUGCGCUUUUUCCGAUGUCACCCCCAUGCCACCUUCUCCGUGCCUCUGUGCUCGGCUCCGCUCCAUGAUUCAGUGAGGGCUUUAUGUAGGAAGCAGACGAGAUGCUCGCAGCUGCUCCGAGGGCUAAAAAUAUUUGCUCGUCUCUUCCUCCCAGGCAGGUGCGCUCAUCCUGGGCAGGGCUGCUCUGUGGGGAUGCGCUUGCACGCCAGCCGCACGCUGCUCGUGGCACACCGCGGUUCGGCGCUUCUCCUUUUCUACGUGGAGCGCUUGGGUGUUGUGAUUGUUUCUCUGAACCACCCAAAGAGGAUGCUCUGUCCUGUGUUUCAGAUGCAAAAUGUGCCUUGGAAUUCAAUAGUUGCUAUAGUGCCAUAAUUACACAUUUUGUGGAGUACUUAGUUACAAUGGCUGGAGCUCUUGUUAUUAGGUUUGGACUCCUUCUGUUGCUGUCUUUUAAGGACCUUUCUGCCAAACACUUUCUCCCUUCAUUAAGAAUAGCUUGUUUCAGCAUUUUCUCCCCACAAAGAUAGCCCCAGUUCAGGGUUGCAAUGGAGCACUCGUCACCAAAUUGAUAGUAGGAAGGCGUGGGCUUGCACCCUGCUUUCUGCACACUGUGCUCCGGCGUGAACAUCAAAGUCUGCUUGAGUGACACCAGUAGAAUAUCUCCCAGGAUCUGUGAGCUCUUGAGCACGGAUCCUGGCAGUGUUGCUCUCUGCAGUUUGGAGACAACUUGCACUGUCUGCUCGGGGCAUCUGCACCUUCCCAGGUGCUUCCCUUCCCCUUGGCAGUACGGAGAAGGUGGACUCCUUGGGUGCUCUUCCUAGAGGAUGACUUAACCCACCUCAAUGGGACAUGCCUUGGGCAAGGAUGAAUCACUCUCCCAAGGUGCUGGUCUUUUAUGCCCACUGUAGAUGAAGCUCAGCUUCAGUGCAGACAGGCGAGAUGGGUAAGACAAGCCCCAUGCUCAACGUUGCUCCGCCAAACGGCAGGGAUGUUCUCCACCCUACACAGUAGGAUUGGCAUUUCCCCUGUUAACCUCUUUUUCUGCCAGGGUUACCCCAUCUGGAGAAUGGAGCUAAACACUUAACUGCCUACUUUCUAAGGAGUCAGGCAGGAUAAUUAGCUAAUGUUUGGGUAAUGCGUCAUAGGGUAGGAGUGCUAAGUAGUAUUGCUGUCAGCAGCACGGUGGGAAGCGAAGGGCUCAAUCUUGUUUUUUCAAUCAGGAAUGUCACGGUCUCCCCCAGGUUCAUUGGUCUCCCCUAAGUUUAUUGUUCCCAUUGACUAGUCUGCCGAGGGCAGGGGCCGUACGCAAAGUGUUUAAAGGAAGAGGAUGCCAGGGACAGCAGAGGGCUGUUUUCAAUCCAGGAGAAGAACUGUGAGAAUAACUGGGUGGAUUUCAGAAAGACAAAGCUGCCAAUGAAGCCAAAAGCAGGGAAUAUGCCUGGGGCUGCACAGAGAGGGCUUAUGUCUGUAACUGUGGUGUAAAUACUCAACAGCAAUAUCCUCUGAGUCACUAAAGCGCAUCAGGGAAACUUUUCUUGCAUUGCAUUUACUGCAUGCAUGCAGCACAGCGGGAAGCAUGAUGCAGACACCCAUCUAACUCACCCUGGGGACUGAAGUAGACUCAACCUAAAAGAGAUUUCACAUCUUUAAUUCUUAUUAUUCUGCAAAUUACGUUAUGGAUGAACUUCAGGCCCUUCUCAUGUCCGCUGAUCAUAAUUGAUGAGAUUUCAAUCGUGCCUCCUUGAAGUUAAACAUCUGAGAGACACUUUGGUUAAUAGUUUGCCUUUCAGAGCGGUGCAUUAGCUCUCUUGUGCUCCUGUCCGCUUAAUUUAGAGCGAGUGGCCAAGAGUGGUGCAAUUAAGGAAGGAAUCUUGGGCUGAAGCUCUCGACGCUUUCGAAUGGCCAGCAGACCCGUCAGCACCGGCUUGUUUUUACAGUAGCUGGAACAACGAUUUCCGUGACUCGCUACUAAUUAUGCUCUGGUUUCGCAAACAAAUGUUUUUAACCUCUUCUUGUUGCAUAUGAAAAUUAUUAAACAUCAGUG
This is a long non-coding RNA of Chroicocephalus ridibundus (black-headed gull), 5391 nucleotides long. RefSeq lists it as uncharacterized. Lineage: Eukaryota; Metazoa; Chordata; Aves; Charadriiformes; Laridae. The record is from RefSeq and is a predicted model, not a curated record. The transcript is spliced from 3 exons.